GGACUACUAGGGUUUCUAAUCCUGUUCGCUACCCAUGCUUUCGCUCCUCAGCGUCAGUUACAGCCCAGAGACCUGCCUUCGCCAUCGGUGUUCCUCCUGAUAUCUGCGCAUUUCACCGCUACACCAGGAAUUCCAGUCUCCCCUACUGCACUCUAGCCUGCCCGUACCCACCGCAGAUCCGGAGUUAAGCCCCGGACUUUCACGGCAGACGCGACAAACCGCCUACGAGCUCUUUACGCCCAAUAAUUCCGGAUAACGCUUGCGCCCUACGUAUUACCGCGGCUGCUGGCAC
This 292-nucleotide ribosomal RNA is filed under the name uncultured bacterium. RNAcentral's name for it is "partial 16S ribosomal RNA". The record is from RNAcentral.